UUCCAUCAACGAAAAAAAGCUUGACUUCAACAACAACAGUACACCAACACGACAACCAUCGACGAUCACCCAUCAACGACCAAAAAACCAAUCAACGCCGAUCCGACCCAGCAACCCGAAUCCAACCCGUUUCCCUUUCCUCUUCGUCAUCACGCGCUUUCCAUGCACUUCGGUGUGAAGAACAUGAGCCUUCUAGAAGAUACCGAGGUGGCAGCCAAGUCUCGGUUCAAUCAAAUGCUCCAAAAAAAUUUUAAUUUCAAGUCCUUGGAAUUGUACCAUGAAGGUACGCAUGUGCUCCUUUUUCAUUGGUUGAGAAGAAAAUUCAUUUUCUCCAUAUUGCCAAUUUUGAAAUUCUUCAACAAAAUCCAAAAUUUUGGUACGAUCUGUUAGCAAAAAGAGAUUAUCCUCAUUUUUGAAUUUCGAAUUCCCCCUGGAAAUCAGUUUUGUAUUUUUUUCUUAGGGAUUUUCAUUGAUUCACCCUUUGGCUUCGAAAGAGACUCGAAAGGGGUAGGAAUCAAGGUCAAAAAUCAGUUUUGUAUUCUUUUUCUUGGGGAUUUUUCAUGGAUUCACCCUUUGGAUUCAAAAGAGACUCGAAAGGGGUUGGAAUCAAGGUUAAAAAUCAUUUGUAUUCUUUUCUUGCGAAUUUUUCAUUGAUUCACCCUUUGGCUUUGAAAGAGACUCUAAAGGGGUUGGAAUCAAGGUUAAAAGUCAAUUUUUGAUCCAUCUUCGCGUGAUUUGAACCUUUUUGUGAAUUACUUUAAGUAUUAGCAUUCUUAUUCUUGGAAGUUUUUCACCGAUUCACCCUUUUAUCUUCAAAGGAAACUCAAAAGGGGUUAGAAUUGAAGUUAAAAUUAGUUUUGCAAAGUGACCCAUCUUUAUUUUGAUGUUAGCUGGUUUGCAUUUUCCUUUUGUUCCCUUUCUUAAAUUGUUCAAAGUCAGUGCUCUCAUACUUGAGAGUUUUUCGCUGAUUUACUUUUUUGAUUUCUUUUGGAAACUGGAAAGGGGAAUUAGAAUAAGUGUUGCUGACGAACCAAUUCAUGUGCAUACAGUGAUGGUAUAUCAAUUCGAAAGAAUAAUCUCUUUUGAUCUUACUAUUUGAUCUUAAAAAAUUUCUUCAUGAAAGUCUUUACCUUUGCUGCAUUAAAGCUUUAGAUUUUUUAGGACUGACUGCAUCUUGUUGGUGUGUUUUUGGAUUAAAUUUCCAUUUAAUAAUCAACAUUGUUUGGGCUUUCCAAAUUAUGUGAAUACACAGUCUCUUCGAAAGUCUGUCGAUGUUUGUUCAUAUCGAUGUGAGAGGCGCAUAUAUGGGGGGAGAAUUAAUAUUGAUGGGUUUUCAUUUCUUUGCUGCAAAGUCUCAAUUUUUUCUUAAAAAAAAUGUUAUUGAGUUUGAAUUUUAUGUGAUUAGACGUAAGGUUCAUAUUCAUUCCCAGUUCAAUCAUAUUUCUGUUGCUUUUAUGUGUUCAUGCUAUUUUGAGUUUUUAUUAGGAUUGAAUAGUGAAUGUUUGUUAUGUAUAGUCCUUGUUGACACUUAUUCAUAAACGUAAAGUAGCAAACUUUGGCUUCUCUUUGUGUUUCACUUUGUAUUUUGAUCAUGCUCUUGAAAUAGAAAUUGCUAGUCCACAAUUAUAACCUUUUUCAAGUAGUAAACUGGAUUGUAUUAGGUAUUAGGAUAAGAUGGAGGCAACUUUUUUUUUUCUUAGAAAGUAGCAGUAAGGUGGAGACAACAUUUGAAGGAAAUUCCUUUUUUUUUUUAGACGAAUAUGAGUAUCUUGCUUAUGAUAUUAUUGGAUGUGUUAAAUUAUAUGGUAUCUUGCUCUUUUCCUACGCCUACGCCUACUAUUACUAUACAUUACCUUGUAUCUUGUUCUUUUUCCAUUACUCAUAUCACUAUGUGAUGUUUUUAAACUUAUCGAAUUAUGUGAUUUGAAUUCUAAUUUCUUGCAUUUUCUUUCUUUAUACGUUAAUCUGUUUUGGAGUCCACGCUGGACUCCUUCCCAUUGCAUUAUCCAGUGGGCCAGUGAGGCCCAUGUCCUCAAGGUUUAAUUCCCAAAAGUGAUCUUAUGGCAUACCAGUAUAAGAAGAUAGAAGCGACAAAGUUACUUGGAUUUGGAAGCUCAAAAAGCCUCAUCCUCUUUAGUUUAUUUAACGUUGUGUUGCUUGUUUUUAUUCAUCUAGUUAUUUAUUUAUUCAUUCAUUUGGGGCCUCGAAGUCAAAGUUGUAAAUUUAAUACAGGUGGAAUAGAUUUUGGGCCAACGGGCCUAAAAAAUAGUUUAGGACAGGUUACGGGCCAAGGCCCAACAUUUAGAUUAAGACAGGUAAAAAUGGGCCGAAAAUCCAACUAGAUUAGGACAGGGUGAUGGAUUUGGGCUUAAGAGCCCAAAUCAUUUAUUUCUUCUUCCUCCCUUUCCCCUUUUAUGUGCUUAUUUACCUUUCAUUUGCUUAGACUUGGUUAAAUCUCCUACUAAGUCGUCAAAACUUACUUUUACACAAAUUGUUUCCUAAAAUCAAUCAUUUUUCAACAAAUCAAUCUUUUUGAAGUUAGUUAAAAGAUAUUUUCAAACAGUUCGGAUAACAGCAAGUUAGCGAACGUUUUAGGUGCCUUAAACCUUCCUAAAACGUUAAUAGGAACUGCUUACUCAGAAUUUUUAAAUUUUUAAAUAAUUUUUCUAUUUUGGAUCAUUUAAAGUAUCUUAUAAAGGUUUCUUAAUUUCUUUUUAAAAUUAAGUGUGAUUUUUCAAAAGUUAAAAUUUUUGCAAAACAGAAAUAGCGACUCCGUUGGGAAUUUUAACUAGGUUCUGCCUUUUUGACCAACUGUUAUAGUGUUUAUGUGCUCAUAUGUUUAAACUUGGAGAUGCUUUUCAUAGCAUAUUUCCCAUUUGAAAUAUAAAUUGUUUGGUGUUUCGUGGAUGUCCCGGUUCCUGUUGUUCAACACCAAAUAAAGUGUUGGAAAUAAGACGAUUUAUUAGCACGUGAGGCGUCUGAUGGUUGUUCGUAUUUUCAAACUUAAGUCGUCCGCUUGGGAACCUGGUUCAAAUCCACUUUAGAUACCUAGGAUAAAACUAAACCAAAACUUUUUUUAGGCAUAAGCCUAGGAUGACUCAAUACUCGAAGGGGGUAUUAGGCCUAUUAGAAAACUUGCCCUGCUUCUAUUGGUCCCGAGUCAAUUACAGCCGAAUCAUAUUUAUGUGUUGAAGAAAUAUAUGUUUGUUUAAUUCAAUCCAUUAUCCUUUGGGGGUCGGGAGAAGGCUUGCUUUGCUUACUUUCGUGUAGGAUGCCUCAAUCAUAUACCAAUUGAAGAAGGAAUAGAAGCAAGCCAAGAAAGAAAUUGAUCGAUUUGGAUGGUUGCAUCUAGAGCACAGUUAUACGGAAAUAACUUGAUCAUCAAUGGAUGUCUCCAAUAAUAAGAAGUAGACAAAACUAAGAGGGCAAAGGCCGAUAGAAGAGCAUUCAAGAACUAGUAUUUCCUAUCCCCUGCGCGGAACAUUAUUCUUUUUCUCAUGUUAUUUUCCCUUUUCCUAAAGAUUGUAUCCCUCUUUUGUUAUCUUUUGUAAGCAUUUAUGUCCUUUUACAUAUCUAUGAAAGUUUGGGGGAUAAUGGAUUGACUUUAACAAGGAAUAUAUUUUCUUCAAAAUUCGUUAGGCCCAAACCCUUGGCUCAAAAAGGGUCACCCCAAUUAGGAUGCACGUUUAUUAUAAUAUGCUUAUAUAAUAUAACUGUUUAUAUGCUUAUACGUGUUAUGUUGAUUCGAAUUAAAGGCGAAUUGAUCCAAUCCCAUUUCCAUAGAACAUCUUUAGGCAGAAAUAUAUUCCACUAUACAAAAGUUCGAUCAAAUGUACUCCAAGUCUCCCAAGUUUCUCAGAAAAGUCCGCAACCAUUCUUAAAACUUCCAAAAUGAUCGCUACCAUUUUAGUAAAGUUGACUUUGAAAUCAGAAAAAGCCAUUAUAAUUUCAAACUACGUAGGGCCUGAUUUCUCCUCCGUAAGGUACGUAGGCAGCCUUUUGGCCCGGCUCAUAUCUCUAAAAGCUUUGUUGUCCUUCACUUUUUUGAAAGAAGUAAUAAGGCCAGGAAGUGGAAAAGUUGAGCCUUCCUGAAAAAUUCCACCUAUACAUAUCAUUGAGCAAAAUCUUUUUCAUUGAAAUUCUCAAGUCAUCAUUACUUCAUGGAUCAAUUUGCAUGAGAUGAGAAACAACUCUAUAUGUUUACUUCCUACCUUAUCAUCUUGUUUUGCUUAUUACUAUCGGAAUCUAACACGUCGGUCUUUGAGUUGUUUUUACUUUGUAGGUAAUAGAAACUACUCUGUGUUGGCACAAAAUGGCCUUACUUCACUAGAUCAAAACGAAUAAGAGAUCCCUUUUUUGACUAUAGCUUUGAUACAGGAAAAGAAAAAUGACUAGUAGUAAAACUGGACUCUACCAAUCAUUUUUCAAACCUGUAAACAAUGGUCUCGAGGAUGGGAUAAGAAAAAUAUGAGGGAAGAGGUUUCCAAGACAAUCGGGAUCAUUGAAUAUUAAUUGGAGGAAACAUUGUUGAAUUGGACCUCCACUCUACCCAUGACUCUUCGCGCAUCAUACAAUAAUAACUUAAAACUUGUCAUUGUCAUGUAAUGUCAAGAAUCAAGAUAAUGAUGAAUGAGAGACAAUAUCCUUAGAACAGUCAACAGAAGAGUCAAAAAGUUUGAGAUUCAAAGAAGCCUAAUCUAGAUAAAAUUGCGGUGGUUAACUAGGAGGGCAAUGACUAAGGGAAUUGGACAAUUGAUUCUUCGUUCUAUCAAGACAAAGACAAUGAAAACUUCAUGGAAGUUCUUAUUUAUAUCCUAGUAAGAUGGAUAAUAGUAUUCAGGGCCAUUUAACCCUGAAAAUUCUUUUUAUGUACGAACUACGUUUGACCUGAAUUUUCAAGAAAGGGAUACAUAGGCGGCCUAUGUCGGCUUUGGUCAACCCUUUAGGAAAAUUUAUUCUUUCCUUUCAUGUCUGAACUACAUUUGACCUGAAUUCUCAAGAAAGGGAUAUGUAAGCGGCCUAUGUGAGGUUCGUUAACCUCGUAGGAGAUUUAUCAAUUUCUUUUAUGUUUGAAGUACGUGAUGACCUGAAUUCUCAAGAAAGGGAUACGUAGGUGGCCUAUGUCGACUUUUGUCAACCCAAUAGAUUUUGUUAUAUAUCCUUAACGUAGUCUUGAACUAUGUUUGACCUGAUUCCUACUUCAACGGGAUACGUAGGCACCCCAAUGGCUCGGUUAUAUAAUCCCAAAAAAUAGAAACUGGGGCAGAAUUUUUGAGGAGGAAUCUAAAAAAUUCACAAGAGGAAGAUCAUCUUCCAAAAAUAAAGAGAACGAAGACUAACAAAGACUUUGGAUCCUCUCGAGUUUAGAUUGUCUCAAACAACUUUAAACUGGGGCAAAAAUUUUGAGGAGGCCCUCAAAAUUUAAACUAAUAUAUUGGAAUAUGUUUCAAAUCCCCCAGCACCAAAGGUCAAAGUCAAGUUUUGGAAAUCAUUAGCUGCUACGAAGUCUAGGUAGACUAAUUCUUCAGCUAUGAUAGAACUUUUUGAAGAAACCUCCAACAAUGAUGAUGAGUUUGGAAAAUCCUCCAUCGAACAUCGGAUACAGUCAGAACCAGGAGAAAGAUGUCCAUUGAGCUAGCACAUGACAUGAAUGGCAAAGAUUUUUUGAAUCUUUUACAGAAUUUUUGAAACUAGUUUUUAAAAAUUAAGACUACUUUCAUAAAUCUAUACAAAUCUUUUACUUAGUAAUUGCGAAAGCAUCUAUUGGGAUGGGGAGUUAGGGUGGAAGACCCAACAUGACGGAGUACUCAAAAGAUGGCGAAGAGCAAAUCAAGGAUAGAAGAAGGUCAACACAGAGUAGUUUCACUCAAACAUAAUCAUUUUUCUGUGAAUGCAGUGAUAAGUACACAAAAUGGGAAUCUUUUUCAAAAUAUUCCAAACAAGUUGCGAGCCACACCAGAGCAUAGAAUUCUCAAGAAUGGUAUUUUUGGGGAUCCCCAAAAAUGAAUUUAUACUCAUUUAUCGAGGACCUUUUGAAUUGUCUAUCUCAUUUCUUGAGACCAUGAAGGACAGACAAAGGCGUCUUAUCUUCUUUAUGAAUAUUGUAUUUAGAUUUUCUUAAAAAAUAGUCGCUAGCAAAAAUGACUUUAUGUCUACUAAAUAUUUACCUUGAGCGCAGGUACAUUAAAGAGAGUCGACACAAUAAAUACAACAAUCAAAAGGAUUACUCAAUAGGAGGAAGAGUCAAAAGUCAUCCUCAAAAUUCGCCUUGAAGCAAAACAAACGGUAUUUGAGUAAUCUCCGAACAAGAAUUUUACCCCAUUUACUUGCAUUUGGUGGAUCUGUUAUUUAAUUAUUUCUUUAAAGAAGAGAAGAUUAAUAGCAGAAUACGUCAUUCAAAUUAUGAUGCUUAGUAUUUAUCAUUAAACUGUCAUAAAGAUUGAUUUUGGUUGUCAGUGAGAGCGACAUCGUGUCUGCUAACUGUCUACCUUGAGUACAGGUACAUGCAGAAAGAAAAAUGUAGACAAGCGGACUCAGUUGAAACUAUUUUCCAAUCACUGGAAGAACUAAUUCAUAUCAUUACCAAGAGGGUUAUUUAUGUCAUUGCCAAGAGGGUCAUUUCAUGCCAUUGUCGAGAGGGCUAUUUCAUGUCAUUGUUGAGAGUGUCAUUUUAUAUCAUUGCCAAGAGGGCCAUUUCAUGCCAUUUUCAAGAGGUUUAUUUCAUUUCAUUGUCAAGAGAGACAUUUUAUGCUGCCGAGAGGGCUAUUUCAUAUCAUUGCCAAGAGGGCAAUUUUAUGCCAUUACCAAAAAGGCAAUUUCAUGUCAUUGCCAAGAGGGUCAUUUCAUGCCAUUGAUGAGGGAGCCAUUUCAUAUCAUUGUCAAGAGGGUCAUUUUAUUCCAUUGCCGAGAGGGCCAUUUGAUAUCAUUGUCAAGAGGGCCAUUUCAUAUCAUUGCUAAGAGGGCUAUUUCAUGCCAUUGCCAAGAGGGCUAUUUUAUAUCAUUGCCAAGAGGGCCAUUUCAUGACCUUGACGAGAAGGCCAUUGUAUUUAAUAUCUGUUGACACGCGAGAUAUCAUAUACUGUCGUCCAGGAUAUCAUCAAUAUUUAAUAUCUAUUGACACGUGAGAUAGCAUACGCUGGCGUCGAGGAUAUCAUCAGCAUUCAAUAUAUGUUGACAUGCGAGAUAGCAUACAUUGGCGUCGAGAAUAUCAUCAGCAUCUAAUAUCUGUUGACACGCGAGAUAGCAUUGUUAGCAUCGAGGAUGUCAUCAUCAUCUAAUAUCUGUUGACACACAAGAUAACAUACGCUGGCGUCGAGGAUAUCUCAUUAUUUUAUAAAUCAGCAUCUGAAUGCAUCAAAAGCAAAUGAUUCAAAGGAAUGUCUGUAAGUCGCUAUCUGAAAGUAAAUGACAUGAGAUUUCUUUGAAAUUGACAAUUUAAGAAUCAUCUAUAAGUAAUAUUAUUUGAAAUAGGAUAGUGUGCAAGAUUACCUUUGAGUUGAUAGCCCAUAGGUCAUCUGUAAGCCACAACAACAUCCUAAUUAGAUAGUGUGCAAGGUUACCCAAAAAUUUAAAGUACGAAGGUUAUCCAUAAGUCGCAACUAAAUCCUUACUGGAGGAUAUGUGAGAUUAUCAAAUUGAUAAGUCCAAGGGUUCUCUAUAAGCCGCGUCACAUUCAGGAUCGAGUAUAUGCAGGAUUACCCAAGGACUAAUAAUUUGAGAGAUAUCUAUAAGUCAUAUUAUAUCCAAGGUCAGAUGAUGUGCAGGAAUACUUAAGAGGUAGCGAUUGGAGGGGUAUCUGUAAGUCAUCUCUUAUUCGAGGUCGGAUAAUGUGUAGGAUCACCUAGAAGCUAGCAAUUCAAAGGAUAUAUGUAAGUCGCCUAAUAUCCAAUAUCAAAUAAUGUGCGAGAUUUUCCAAAGAUUGACAAUUCAAGAGAAAUCUAUAAGUCGUAUCGAUACAAAAGAUGCGCAAGACUUAUCCAAGGUCACAUGCAAAGAUUAUUGUCAAUAACCAGAAAGGUUAUCAUAGGCAACCAAAAUGGUUCAUCACACGAUUGAAGGGAUCGUUCUGCAUAAAGUAUUGUCGUGUCCAAAAAGGCUACCUCACCUUGAAGGCAUAUUCACUCGACAAAUAAGAUAAUUAUGCAACAACCAAGAGGGUUGUUAUGUAUGUUAUUGCAAUUUAUUUCCUUCCGACAGGUAUAUGAGAGGAUGACUUCACUUUUUAGGCGGCAACUCACGUGGAGAUAUGAUAAAAGACUAUAUACCUCUUUCGUGAAUUAUGUUUAGCACUAGCACUUUUUAUUUAAAACAUUGUCGAGAAUAUCUAAGAGGAUGAAAAUCUCAAAUCAAAAACAUAGGUGCAGACGACUCCAGUUAGGAUGUAGCACAACGUGGAACUCUUUCUUAGUAGCAAAAUGGGACAUAGUCUAAAAAGAGAUGUCAAACUCUUUGGAUGCGAGCUAAAGGAUGAUCGCCACAACCAUCCAACCACACCCCUGUUAGAAGGCAUGUGGGAAUUUUGGGAUAUUCUGGUUUCAACUUCACCUUCGGGAUAUUUCUAAGCUCAUAUCGAGGGUAAACUUCUCUUUCAUUCAAAUUCAAGUAAUAGUACACCUACUAAAGUCUUGAAAAUUAUGUCAAGGUAAAUUCUUACCUAUGGAUGUGAAGAGUUCCUGUAACACACCGUAAAAUUCCAGAGUCCUUAAAGCUUCUAAAGCAUGCCAAGAAAGGCUUAACACUUAAAAAAUUUGGCUAAGUGUUGAAACUUUUCCAUUCCAUAAGCCUUUGAAACUUUGAUGAAUUAUUUUGUGACCUUCCCGACCUCCGUUUCUUGAUUUUCUUAUUGCUUGCGAUGGGGCAAAUCAAGAGUACAUCUCGGGUGAGUUUCAAAAUUUUUAGACGAGCCUAAGGUCAUGUUUGGGUUGGCAAAAUAGUAGCUAAAGGCUACAGAGGGGCGCCACCCAGCUUAGAGACUUGGCCCCCCUCCCUUAGUAGCAAGGUGCCAUCUAGCCUACAAAAGGCUCUGGGAAAGGCGCUGCCUGUCCAUAGCCCUUGUGCCCAGUUUUUCAGCAUUUCACUUCCGUGUUUUUAAGGACAAUUUGGUCAAAUCCCACCCCUGUAUAAGCUUCUUUAACACGAGAUUCAUCAUAUUUUCACCCAAAAUAUAAGGUUUUCUCUCUAUUUUCCUCAAGAACAAGAUUAAGGUUUCUAUUGAAGGUUUAAAAUCAAAAAAAUUCCAUCGUUAAUUUUUCAAGAAUCAUAUAGUAAGGUAUGUUGGAUGUUGAUUCUUGGGUUCCUUCUACCCAAGAAGUUCAAGAAUCCCUUUUUAUAUUCAAGAUUUUAUGUUUAUGAGUUUUUCAUGAUUUAUGUGGUUUGAAGUUGAAGCCCAUGUUAAUAUUAAGUUUUAAUUCAUGUUGUGAUCAUAAAGAUGCAAGUAUGGACCUUAGUAGGUGUUUGUUAUGUGAUGUUCAUGAUAAAGUCCCUUCAAAAAGCAUGUUGAAUUAUGUAGUCAUGUUAAUUAUGUGUAUUGAAUGUUGUAUGAUCAAAGUAUGCAUUCCUCAUAUUUGAUAAAUUGCUUAUGUGAAGAAAAUAGAGUCAUUAUAGCAUGUAGACAAGAAAUUCCCAAUUUUAUGUAAGUCAAUACAUGUCAAGUGUUCAUUGUAAUGCCUAGAAGAGUGAAUUAUGAUAUGAUACAUGCAUUCCUAUUCAUGUUAAUUCCUUAUUGAAUGAGUAAUGAGACAACAACAUGCAUCCCUAUACAAUUACAUGUUUAAGACUCUCCAAGUGCUUGAAAUGAUGCUUCAUUGGGUAUAUUACGAAUGAUAGUCUAUUGUUAUGAUUAUUACGCAAGAGUUGUCAUGUCUUAUUUAUUUAUUUUUUCGAGUCCUGGGGGUAUUUAUACCCAAAAACUUAGUUACUUUUCUAGAGCCGAGUCAGUCUCAAGAUAAUCUCAGUCGUGCUAUGAUCAGUAUAUCUCAGUUAGUGGCAGAAGUUAAGUAAACACAGUAAUCUCAGUAUUCAAUCUAAUCAAGCUUAAUAUCCAGUUCAGAACUCAGUAGUAUUCAGUAAUCAGUCCAAAUUUCAAUAAAUCUCAGUAAGUUAUGAAACUCAGUGGUAUUCAAACAACAAGUAGAAUUCAGUAGUAUUCUGUCAGUCUUCGAAAUCAAGUGAACUCAGAUUAACUCAGUUACUUAGUAUAAUCAAUAGAAGAUUCAGCUCUGUCUAAGUUCAGUUAAGAAUUAGUUCAGAGUCCUUCAGUUAGGAGUAGUAACUCGUAUCGAACAAGUGCAGGGAUGAUGGCUUCCCAUUAGAGAGGUAGAGUUGUUAGCAGCAAUCCCUGAACUCCAGAAUUGUGUAGCCAGUGCAGGACCAGGAGUCACCUACUAGAUUAAGGAUUGACUAUCAUACUUCCUUAGGCUUGACUUCCUAUUCAGGGUCACCCAUUAGAGAGGCUUGACCAUAGCAGAGGUCUUUACCCAUGGCACAGUAUUGACACCCUUUCAGCUGGGGUUACAGGUUGGACCCCACCAGAUCAGAUUUAGGGCAUGUCGGAUAAGUGAGAACUCCUAUAGUUAUAGUUUCAACUUCAGAUUCAGUCUCAGUCAAGAUCUCAGAUAGUUCUUCAGAUUUAGGAUCAUCAGAUAUGGUCACACAACUCAGUAAGGAACUUAGAUAGUUUCACAGAUUCAGAGAUCACCCACUAUAUAGGCUUGAUCUCAAACUCAGUCAAUUAUUAUUAUUAUCCUUAUCAGUAUCAGAAGGUCCAGAGAUCACCCGUUAGAUAGGCCUGAUCUCAUAAUCAGUCCAUCAUUUCUAUUAUUAAAAGAUUCAGAGAUCUUCCGCUAGAUAGGUUUGAUCUCAAAUACAAUCAUUCUUUAUCAUUAUUAGUAGAUUCAGAGAUCAUUCGUUAGAGAGGUUUGAUCUUAGAUUUAGUCAGUUGAUAGUAGCAAUCUCAGAACUCAAUUAUUAGUAAGACUCAAAUAUUCAGUCUCCUAAUGCUAGUGAAUUUAGAUGUCAGUAAUAAUAAGCUCAGUUGUUAGAAGCUCAACUGUUUAGAAGUUAGUAUUUAGUGUUGUAAUGAUUUUUGUUAUGAUUAUGUAUUCAUACAUGUAUCCUCAUUCAGUAUAUUCAGAUUAUUCAGACAGUAUAGUUCAUGCACAAGCCUUUGCAUUUAGCCUUACCUCACCUAGCAUAUCAGUACAUUCAAAGUACUGACAUAUAUUUCUCUUGUGCUAUGAUGUCUUAUAACAUAGGUUCAGAAGCGCGAGAUCCAGAGCACCUAUAGCAGUCCAGACUCAGUCAGUAGCAGUAGACGUAGUAGUGAGUCCUCUUUAUUCGAGGAUGCCUCCUAUUUCAGUUUUCUAUUAGAUUUAGUUUAUUUUUAGUAGACGGAGUUAGUUGGGGACAUGUCCCAUCAACUCCAUAGAUCAGACAAUUACAGGC
RNAcentral lists this long non-coding RNA (11442 nucleotides) under Capsicum annuum. RNAcentral describes it as "long non-coding RNA (CANN_LNC016204)". Lineage: Eukaryota; Viridiplantae; Streptophyta; Magnoliopsida; Solanales; Solanaceae. The record is from RNAcentral.